GAGUUACCGCUUAUAGUAACUUUUUUUAUCAACAUGCUGAUGUCUUUCAAUCCUUCCAUGUAUACACGUUCUGAUUUGAGAUAUAAGGGCAUAAUCAAGAGAUAUCAAGACCUCAUUUUAAUUAUUGGAUUCUCCCUGAACUUUACAGUUUAUAUUAUGAUGAGUAAGCAGUUACGUGAUAAAUUAUGGACUGGUGUUACGAAGACCACAAGGCGCUGUAAAUGUUGGUGACGUUAUAUCAAAUUUUAAGUUUACGAGUUAAAAUUUUUAUUCUCAAGCAUGGAAAGAGAGAUUGUUUUUAAUUUAUUUUACAUAUUUUAUACCAAUUGUAAAUGAAAAAAAGAGCUUAUUUGAUUGAAGCUAUUUAAAUAUGACAUUAGCCCAAUAUACUGACAGUUUGGUACUCUCAAACAAAAUAAAAACACAAAAGAUAUGUGGGGUUUCCAAUCAUGAUAUAAAAAUAGAACACGCACAGCAAAACACACAAAAAGCCACGGAACAGUGCUUUUAUUGCUAUUCUUCAUCUCAACGUCACAGUGAGGAAUCAACACGGGGCAAAACAAACCAAACUCAAAUUGUACUGCAAGUUUAAGACUGCCCCUAGCACCGUCCUGAUUGGAAUUCUUUGCACCGUGAACUAUCUAUUGACCACCUUGUCCGAACUAUCAAGCUUAAUUUCAGCAUAUUCUCC
Molecule: long non-coding RNA, 691 nt
Filed under: Mytilus galloprovincialis (Mediterranean mussel)
Lineage: Eukaryota; Metazoa; Mollusca; Bivalvia; Mytilida; Mytilidae
Source: RNAcentral